RNAcentral lists this ribosomal RNA (434 nucleotides) under uncultured bacterium. RNAcentral describes it as "partial 16S ribosomal RNA". It matches the Rfam family "Bacterial small subunit ribosomal RNA", at positions 29 to 507 of the family's 1533-position model. The record is from RNAcentral.
AGCGAACGCUGGCGGCAGGCCUAACACAUGCAAGUCGAACGAACCUUUCGGGGUUAGUGGCGGACGGGUGAGUAACACGUGGGAACGUGCCUUUAGGUUCGGAAUAACUCAGGGAAACUUGUGCUAAUACCGAAUGUGCCCUUCGGGGGAAAGAUUUAUCGCCUUUAGAGCGGCCCGCGUCUGAUUAGCUAGUUGGUUGAGGUAAUGGCUCACCAAGGCGACGAUAAGUAGCUGGUCUGAGAGGAUGAUCAGCCACAUUGGGACUGAGACACGGCCCAAACUCCUACGGGAGGCAGCAGUGGGGAAUCUUGCGCAAUGGGGGAAAGCCUGACGCAGCCAUGCCGGGUGAAUGAUGAAGGUCUUAGGAUUGUAAAAUUCUUUAACCGGGGACGAUAAUGACGGUACCCGGAGAAGAAGCCCCGGCUAACUUCGUG